This 424-nucleotide ribosomal RNA is filed under the name uncultured Hespellia sp. RNAcentral's name for it is "bacterial SSU rRNA". It matches the Rfam family "Bacterial small subunit ribosomal RNA", at positions 338 to 760 of the family's 1533-position model. The record is from RNAcentral. Lineage: Bacteria; Bacillati; Bacillota; Clostridia; Lachnospirales; Lachnospiraceae.
CCUACGGGAGGCAGCAGUGAGGAAUAUUGGUCAAUGGGCGGGAGCCUGAACCAGCCAAGUAGCGUGAAGGAUGACGGCCCUACGGGUUGUAAACUUCUUUUAUAAGGGAAUAAAGUUCGCCACGUGUGGUGUUUUGUAUGUACCUUAUGAAUAAGCAUCGGCUAAUUCCGUGCCAGCAGCCGCGGUAAUACGGAAGAUGCGAGCGUUAUCCGGAUUUAUUGGGUUUAAAGGGAGCGUAGGCGGGCUUUUAAGUCAGCGGUCAAAUGCCACGGCUCAACCGUGGCCAGCCGUUGAAACUGCAAGCCUUGAGUCUGCACAGGGCACAUGGAAUUCGUGGUGUAGCGGUGAAAUGCUUAGAUAUCACGAAGAACUCCGAUCGCGAAGGCAUUGUGCCGGGGCAGCACUGACGCUGAGGCUCGAAAGU